MicroRNA precursor from Oryza rufipogon (brownbeard rice), 209 nucleotides. It matches the Rfam family "MIR812 microRNA precursor family". Lineage: Eukaryota; Viridiplantae; Streptophyta; Magnoliopsida; Poales; Poaceae. The record is from Rfam.
AAUAAGUGCAGUUUUAGCAUUGUUCAUGUCUAACGUUUGACCGUUCGUCUUAUUUGAAAAAAAAUUAUGAUUAGUAUUUUUAUUGUUAUUAGAUGAUAAAACAUGAAUAGUAUUUUAUGUGUGACUAUUUUUUAAAUAUUUUUUAUAAUUUUUUUAAAUAAGAUGGAUGAUCAAAACGCUCAGCACGUAUAUUUAUAGCUGCACUUAUU